CCGCAGGCCCGCUCUGUCGCCGCCGGGAAACCGGGGGAGGAAAGUCCGGGCAACGCAGAGCGCCGCGCAAGCUAACGACUUGAUAUCCGAGAGGGUAUGGGAGCGUAACAGAGAACGACCGCCAGCCGGGUUUCCGGCCGGUAAGGGUGAAAAGGCGGGGUAAGAGCCCACCGCGGGGGCAGCGAUGCCGCCCGGCCGUACGUCCCGCGGGUUGCAAGACCGUGUAUACCGGCAAACGAGGGCUGCUCGUCCGAUGCCGGGGGGUAGGUUGCUGGAGGCGGCGGGCGACCGCCGUCGUAGAUAAAUGACAGGGGCCCGGGCUUCGGCUCGGGAACAGAACCCGGCUUACAGGGCCUGCGAACAA
This 364-nucleotide RNase P RNA is filed under the name Alistipes sp. RNAcentral's name for it is "RNase P RNA component class A". It matches the Rfam family "Bacterial RNase P class A". Rfam says of the family: Ribonuclease P (RNase P) is a ubiquitous endoribonuclease, found in archaea, bacteria and eukarya as well as chloroplasts and mitochondria. Its best characterised activity is the generation of mature 5'-ends of tRNAs by cleaving the 5'-leader elements of precursor-tRNAs. Cellular RNase Ps are ribonucleoproteins. Lineage: Bacteria; Pseudomonadati; Bacteroidota; Bacteroidia; Bacteroidales; Rikenellaceae. The record is from RNAcentral.